AGAUUGAACGCUGGCGGCAUGCCUAACACAUGCAAGUCGAACGAGGCCGCAAGGCCUAGUGGCGGACGGGUGAGUAACACGUGACCAACCAACCCCGAAGUUGGGAAUAGCUCUGCGAAAGUAGAGGUAAUACCGAAUGUGGUCCAGGGCGGACAUCCGCUCUGGUCUAAAGAUUUAUCGCUUCGAGACGGGGUCGCGGCCUAUUAGCUUGUUGGUGGGGUAACGGCCUACCAAGGCGAUGAUGGGUAGCUGGUCUGAGAGGACGACCAGCCACACUGGGACUGAGACACGGCCCAGACUCCUACGGGAGGCAGC
RNAcentral lists this ribosomal RNA (315 nucleotides) under uncultured prokaryote. Its description in RNAcentral is "bacterial SSU rRNA". It matches the Rfam family "Bacterial small subunit ribosomal RNA", at positions 26 to 352 of the family's 1533-position model. The record is from RNAcentral.